Molecule: long non-coding RNA, 573 nt
Organism: Sardina pilchardus (European sardine)
Lineage: Eukaryota; Metazoa; Chordata; Actinopteri; Clupeiformes; Clupeidae
Exons: 4
Source: RefSeq, a predicted model, not a curated record
AGCCCAUUACAAGCCUGCAAUGGGCUCUAUGAACUGUCCAGAGCAAAAUCAGUCUGUCCUGAUGGCACUACCUGCUACUAUGGCUGCUGCUCUCAACCUGGUGGGGCAAGUCUUAAGAGUUGCAGACGGGGGAGCAAAAGGAGUUCCUGGACCCUUAAAGGGUUAAGGCCAUAAUGGGCCACCUAGAAGAGAUUCAGGCACUCCCUCAAGAUUGCUGGGCCAUGCAAUUAAUGCCAAACUUGCAGAACUGUGAUGUCAGUACAAAAACAAAAAUGGCCAUUUUUAAAUAAAUUCAACAAAAGAAAACAGAAGAGUUGUGUGUUUCUUCCUCUUUAUAAUGAUACUAUGGUUAAUUUUAAGUAAAUACUAUAGUGAAAACAAUUGUAAAUGCAGAAAACAUGAAACCAUAGUAGAAUAUGCCCUAUAUUUGAACAAUAUAUCAGAAUAUAUGUGAGAAAUAUAAGUCUGAAAUAUAUAGGUCAUGUGAUCACAACUUUCAUCAAGGGUCACGUGAUCAUUCUUCUUAGUGCAAUAUAUUUAAAUAUAUUUAAUUAUAUGCAGAAAAUAUAAGAA